Molecule: ribosomal RNA, 301 nt
Filed under: uncultured bacterium
Lineage: Bacteria
Description: partial 16S ribosomal RNA
Rfam family: Bacterial small subunit ribosomal RNA
Source: RNAcentral
CAGUCGCCGCGGGAAAACGGAGGGAGCUAGCGUUGUUCGGAAUCACUGGGCGUAAAGCGCACGUAGGCGGCUAUUCAAGUCAGGGGUGAAAGCCCGGGGCUCAACCCCGGAACUGCCUUUGAAACUAGAUAGCUUGAAUCUUGGAGAGGCGAGUGGAAUUCCGAGUGUAGAGGUGAAAUUCGUAGAUAUUCGGAAGAACACCAGUGGCGAAGGCGACUCGCUGGACAAGUAUUGACGCUGAGGUGCGAAAGCGUGGGGAGCAAACAGGAUUAGAUACCCGUGUAGUCCCUGUCUCUUAUAC